RNAcentral lists this RNase P RNA (355 nucleotides) under Fidelibacterota bacterium. RNAcentral describes it as "RNase P RNA component class A". It matches the Rfam family "Bacterial RNase P class A". Rfam says of the family: Ribonuclease P (RNase P) is a ubiquitous endoribonuclease, found in archaea, bacteria and eukarya as well as chloroplasts and mitochondria. Its best characterised activity is the generation of mature 5'-ends of tRNAs by cleaving the 5'-leader elements of precursor-tRNAs. The record is from RNAcentral. Lineage: Bacteria; Pseudomonadati; Fidelibacterota.
GAGAUCAGUUGAAUGGUUGCCUUGAUGUAAAUCAGGGAGGAAAGUCCGGACUCCGCAGGACAUGACGCCUCAUAACGAGAGGAUCCUCAUAUUUGGGGAAUGGCAAGUGCAACAGAAAGUAAACCGUCUCUGAUUUUACAGAGAUAAGGGUGAAAUGGUGGUGUAAGAGACCACCGGUGAUUCAGGCGACUGAAUCAGCCAGGUAAACCCCGUCAGGAGCAAGAACAAGACGUAUAGCGUAGUCCGCGCGUAUAAAUACAGGUAGUUUGCAUGAUCAGGCUUGUGAAAAUCUGACCAGAUGAAUAACCAUUGUCCCAUCGGGAUACAGAAUUCGGCUUAUAGGCUGAUCUCUUUU